UACACAUUUUAGAAAACUUACUUCUGGGAAAAUAGCGGCCAUCUAGCAAAGAAAUGCAUAGAUAAUGACAAAAUUAUUUGAUUUCUACACAUUUUAGAAAAGGUUUAAAAAAGUUAACAAAAUGAUGGUAU
Haliotis rubra (blacklip abalone) is the source of this 131-nucleotide long non-coding RNA. RefSeq lists it as uncharacterized. The record is from RefSeq and is a predicted model, not a curated record. NCBI's taxonomy places the organism in Eukaryota, Metazoa, Mollusca, Gastropoda, Lepetellida, Haliotidae. The transcript is spliced from 3 exons.